Molecule: long non-coding RNA, 747 nt
Filed under: Helianthus annuus (common sunflower)
Lineage: Eukaryota; Viridiplantae; Streptophyta; Magnoliopsida; Asterales; Asteraceae
Description: hypothetical non coding rna
Source: RNAcentral
GUUAUUUAUCGAGAAAAGAAGGAAUUUUUUUGUAGGGUUGCUUUUGGUUUUCGAUAGAAUUGUUUAUGCUAAAAUGUACUACUUAUUUGAAAAAAAAAAGAAAUUUAGGGAAAUUUUGCUCUUGAUUUUUUGUACGUGAAUUUUGAGUGCAGCUGUUGAAAUUGAACUGUUUGAUGAUUUGAUGAUUGAGGUCAUUUAGUUUAUAAUAAGCUGAAGGAGAGGUCAGGGGGUAUAUUGCACGAGGUUUCGCUAGAAGUGAGGAGAGUAAGCAGAAAAUUGGCGGAGCCGAAGACGUUUUGAACGGCGAUAUAACGAACGCCGCAACUCUGGAACCGGCUAUUCAAUGCACGGAUGCUAUUGUCAUUCUUACCAGUGCUGUUCCUAAAAUGAAACCUGGUUUUGAUCCAACUAAAGGAGGAAGACCUGAAUUCCAUUUUGAAGAGGGAGCAUACCGUGAGCAAGUAACUGUUUAUCGCUGCUCAAGAAACUUCGUUUCCUCCGGCUAAGUAACAACUCUUUGGCGGGAACUAUACCAUAUUCCUUAACUACCAUAAGUGCGCUACAAGUUCUUGAUCUUUCAAACAACUUGUUGACAGGAGUUGUUCCUAUCAAUGGCUCCUUUUCGCUGUUCGAAGACAUAAGGUUUGCUGUAGCUGAUAAUAAGAAUAAUUUGGAUCAUUAUGUAAUUUGCCUUCAUCUUUUUUAAGUUUAUGUAAUGUGUUUUUAAUAUUAAUGAAAAUAUUUAGU